Molecule: ribosomal RNA, 397 nt
Filed under: Chlorarachniophyceae sp.
Lineage: Eukaryota; Cercozoa; Chlorarachniophyceae
Description: partial small subunit ribosomal RNA
Rfam family: Eukaryotic small subunit ribosomal RNA
Source: RNAcentral
AUUCCAGCUCCAAUAGCGUAUAUUAAAGUUGUUGCAGUUAAAAAGCUCGUAGUUGGAUUUCAGUCUUAAUUCGUCUGGCCCGCUCCCUUGAGGAGCCGAGUGCCGGUUGCGAAUUGGACUUCCUUCUAGCAUGAAUCUCCUACCGUUAUGCGGCCGGGAAGGACAUCUGGAUCAUUUACUUUGAAGAAAUUAGAGUGUUCAAAGCAAGCUUACGCUGUGAAUAUAUUAGCAUGGAAUAAUAACAUAGGACUCGGGUUCUAUUUCGUUGGUUUCUAGGGCUCAAGUAAUGAUUGAUAGGGACAGUUGGGGGUGCUGCUAUUAUAUGGCCAGAGGUGAAAUUCUCGGAUUCAUAUAAGAGCAACUUAUGCGAAAGCAUUCACCAAGGAUGUCUUCAUUG